AAUAGAUACCCGGGUAGUCCACGCCGUAAACGAUGAGUGCUAAGUGUUAGAGGGUUUCCGCCCUUUAGUGCUGAAGUUAACGCAUUAAGCACUCCGCCUGGGGAGUACGGCCGCAAGGCUGAAACUCAAAGGAAUUGACGGGGGCCCGCACAAGCGGUGGAGCAUGUGGUUUAAUUCGAAGCAACACGAAGAACCUUACCAGGUCUUGACAUCCUCUGACAACCCUAGAGAUAGGGCUUCUCCUUCGGGAGCAGAGUGACAGGUGGUGCAUGGUUGUCGUCAGCUCGUGUCGUGAGAUGUUGGGUUAAGUCCCGCAACGAGCGCAACCCUUGAUCUUAGUUGCCAUCAUUCAGUUGGGCACUCUAAGGUGACUGCCGGUGACAAACCGGGGGAAGGUGGGGAUGACGUCAAAUCAUCAUGCCCCUUAUGACCUGGGCUACACACGUGCUACAAUGGACGGUACAAAGAGCUGCAAGACCGCGAGGUGGAGCUAAUCUCAUAAAACCGUUCUCAGUUCGGA
RNAcentral lists this ribosomal RNA (520 nucleotides) under uncultured bacterium. Its description in RNAcentral is "bacterial SSU rRNA". It matches the Rfam family "Bacterial small subunit ribosomal RNA", at positions 777 to 1297 of the family's 1533-position model. The record is from RNAcentral.